This is a non-coding RNA of Cinara cedri, 1039 nucleotides long. Lineage: Eukaryota; Metazoa; Arthropoda; Insecta; Hemiptera; Aphididae. The record is from the annotation of a GenBank genome assembly.
UGUUGCCAGAUUCUCGUCUCCAAGGUAAAUAAAUAAACAACAUGUAAAAUCGUGUAAUAAUAAUAUCGUUUUUCAUUACAAAAGAUGAUUUUUUAGAGUGAAGGGGUUGAGUAUUAAAGCUCUCUUAAAGCAUAUAAUAUUUCCGGGAAAAUUUUGAUUAUUUAUCAAAAAGCGUCAUCAACGUCAUGAACGGUUUGCGAAGGCAUACAUACUGACUAACGUUCAUUUUUAUAUAAUAUAGUUGUCCCGGUUAUAGUUGUCUAUUGAUAGAUUUUAUUAAUACUAUCAUUUUUUGUUUUUGUUUUUUUUUUGUAUCUGAAUUAACAAACAAUAUUCAGUAGAUACCAUAGGUACCACGUAAUCAACAAAAAAAUUAAGAAUAUUUACUUUGUUAUCAAGGUAACCCAAUUAACUAGAAUUAUACCGUACAAUACAAAAAUCUCUGUCAGCUAUCUUUUAAAGGUUGAAUUUUAGAAAUUUCAAUAGCUAUAAACCUUCUCCGGUCCACGCAAAAAACCUCGUUAAAAUCUCUCCAGUAGUUAUUGAAAAUAUAAAGGAUGCCCGAAAAAAAUAAGACCCCACCUUAUAUACGUUAAUGAUAAUAGACAAAAUGAGUGUAACACAAAGAUAUACAUAAUAUAUGCAUAAAUAAUAUUAUUCUACGAGUCUCUAUAAUAUUUUCGUUACGUGUAGUUUACGGCCGUUUAACAGAACGUCUGGUCGUUCGGUGGAUUUAGAAUUCGCGGUACGAGGUUCAAAGGUCUGACAAAGUUCUUCGCCGUUCCCGGAGCCCACAUAAAAAUACAAACAAAAAAAUACCACGACGUGGUAGUGAAUAUAGUUUUAUUUCAGUUGGUAUAUUGCAUUGUGCGUUCGUUCGGAUGGCUGCUGCCGAUCGUUGUGCGGCCUAUUGUUUCGUAGUCGCCGUCGUAACCGCUUGUUCAAACCUAACCGCCGGUCCCGGCAAAAACAGAAAAAGAAAAGGAAAUAAAAUCCGCACGAUUCCUCCCGUGUUACCGCGUCUAUUCCUCCGUCAACG